RNAcentral lists this ribosomal RNA (189 nucleotides) under uncultured bacterium. RNAcentral's name for it is "partial 16S ribosomal RNA". It matches the Rfam family "Bacterial small subunit ribosomal RNA", at positions 338 to 524 of the family's 1533-position model. The record is from RNAcentral.
CCUACGGGAGGCAGCAGUGAGGAAUAUUGGACAAUGGAGGCAACUCUGAUCCAGCCAUGCCGCGUGCAGGAAGACUGCCCUAUGGGUUGUAAACUGCUUUUAUACAGGAAGAAACCUUUUCACGUGUGAGAAGCUGACGGUACUGUAAGAAUAAGGAUCGGCUAACUCCGUGCCAGCAGCCGCGGUAAU